CGUUUUCGUCGUGUAUCCGCGAGGAAGAAAAGCUCGGCCAGAUUUUCGCUUCAAAACCGUAUCAAAGUAUUCCCAAUUGGGUCCAAAAUAUUACUGUUCGCUGCCGGAGUGUCCACUGUUUCGUUGGCACUAGUUGCUGUCGCUUGGAACCCGGCGGAUUUAGGAAUAAGUUGCGUUUUCCAUCGGCACGGGUAGGUCAUUGAAAACUUGAAGCAAGAAGAACAAGAAGAUUUGCCUGCGUUUUGAGGUUUCUGUAGUAGUGUGCGUAUAAGAGCGUCUUUGGCCUACUGGAAGGCUCGGCAUCAACAGGAAAAUUUCUGUUGCACCGGAAGAUCAGGAAACAUUGAAGUAACGGGGUUUCAGCAAACAGAACUGAAGGAUCCACUAACAAAUGAUAACAUCGCAGCGUUUUCUAAAAUUUGCUUGGUGAGAAUUAUAUUCUUUUGUUAACUUUGGUUGGCAUUGACGAAAAUAACAAAAAGGUUAACUUCCAACUGGAGAGAUAAAAAUCCCUGACUAGAGAAAUCCGUUUGCAGCUGGUGGCGAAAAUCUUGCCGACGUUGAAAUCUUUCCAGUAAUCAUGUCAUACCCGACAAGGCCUCCGCCGAGCAUCAUCCCGUACGGGAUGGCUACACAAAUGGUUCCGACGAUUAUCCCUGCCGGAAUGCCACCUUCAUUAAGUGCUCCUCCGCCUUCGUCUUACCGGGGGCCGCCACCAUCAAUUGGAUCCCGUCCACACAUGUACAACAACCACCACCAGCAUCAGGACGGCAAAAUACAUCAUCAAAACAGAGAUCGGGACCGCGGUGGGGGUGUCCAAGUACCGAAUGCGGCCCCUACCAUGGACGGGCCAGUGAUAACGGUUUUCAUCGGAAACAUAAGUGAUCGAGCACCGGAUCCGAUGAUAAAAAAGAUACUAGCUUCCUGUGGAACAGUCAUCAACUGGAAACGAGUUUCUACGUUCGGGUUCUGCGAAUAUGACGGUGCCGUUGCUGGAGCACGAGCUGUUCGCCUGCUCCAUGAUCUAGAAAUUGGCAAUAAAAAAUUAGUUGCCAAAGUGGACGCUAAAAACAAAGCGCUUCUUGACAACCAUAAGGAAGAGGAAACGAAUGCGGGCAACGGGAAUGACGGAAACGAACAGCGUGGAGAUGACGUUUCUAUGGAUCUGAUAAUGCGCAUCCUGGACGAGUUCCGAGAUGAUCUAGUGAUGCCUGAUCAGCACCAGGAUGAUGGCGGUGUUGUAGGAGGGAACACGGGAAGUGGAUCACUCAAACAUAAAAAGAACAUCCAAUCCACGGAAAUGGAAGAAGGCAAGCGUGAGCUGAUCAGCAAGGAAAUUGGUAAGUUCCGGAAGUACACCGAAGAGGAAGAAUUAAAGAAGGAAAAAGAAAAGGAACGAAAAAAGGCUCGUGAAGAGCGGAAAGCAGAUGAAGAAAAAAGAAGAUCUACGUCACCCAGGAAGGAGAAGGAAAAGGAAAAGAAAUCAAGACGAAGAAGUCGAUCUAGGUCUCGUGAUCGCGAAAGGGAACGUGAACGUGAACGAGAGCGUGAGCGGGAGAGGGAAAGAGAACGAGAAAGGGAACGUGAACGUUUAGAACGUGAAAACAGGGAGCGGGAAGCACGAUUGGAACGCGAACGGGAACGGGAAAGAGAACGUGAGAGAGAAAGAGAAAGGGAGCGCGAAUUAUUGAAUCGGAAUCCACGGGACAUCCUUAAAGAGAAGGAAAUAGAAGACGAGGCCCGCGAUCGCCGGAAGACUGAAAAAAAGGCCAAGGAGAAGGAGGCUGCUUAUCAGGAGCGAUUGAGGAACUGGGAAGCUCGUGAAAGACGGAAGGCCAAGGAUUAUGAAAAAGAGCGGGAAAAGGAGCGUUGUAAGGAGGAAGAGCGUGAGAAAGAAGCCAAACGGUUGAAAGAAUUUUUGGAAGAUUAUGACGAUGAACGGGAUGAUCCGAAAUAUUACAAGGGCCGAGAAUUACAACGCCGUCUGGCAGAAAGAGUUCGUGAGGCAGACCAGGAUUCCAAAGAUCGCAAUAAGGAACAAGAAGAGUUGGAUGAGCUAAAAAAUAAAAUAUUUUCUGGUGAUUACGACAACCCUACUUUGGAAUAUGAAAAGGAAAAGAAAAAACGCGAAGAAAUGUAUCGGCCCAAGAUUCUCAUCGAUGUCAAUCUGGAACAAUCCCAACAACGAGAAAGAGAGCUGGAAAGAGAACGACAGCGUGAGCUUGAACGCCAACGUGAUCGAGAUCGAUUGCGAGCCAACAAAGAGCGAUACGUCAUGGCCCAAGCAUCGCGGGAGCUGGCCGCCAUCGAUGCCGAACCUAUUGAGUCCGAUUCGAGCGGACAUAAUGAUAACGAUUUCGGAUCUCCCCCGCCAGGUCUCACUAAUGUCAACAACAAUCACCACCACCAUGGUCAAUUUCCGCCACAGCAUGCAGGUUCGGAAACACGCGAUUCCUUCGGUUUUUCUUCUGGUCAUAUGCCAAUGAGUGGAGCGGGGCUUGGUGAAGAAGACAAUUCGCACCAAUCCAUGCAUUCGAAUUCAAUGGCCAUACAUAGUCCUGGUGCGAAUAGUAACAGUGAAAUGAAUUCUAUACCGGAAAAACUUCAACCCAUAGCGCCCACCAUCAGUUUGAGUUUGAAUGCAAAUGCUAAAAAGAAAAAACUGGAGAUGAAGGACGUUUUCAACAGUUUAGAGGAAGAUGGCGAAGAAUCCAAUGGGCCUAAGAAACGAAAACUAGUUCCAUUAGAUGACGAGAACAAAAUUCAAAAUGCAUCUUCGUCUGCUGGACAUGGUAACCAUCACUCAAAGAGUUCUAAAAGUCGUGGCGGCGGCGAAGAAGGCAGUGGACGAUCUGGACGUGAGGCCGUUAAGUCGCAGGAGGAAAAACGGCGACAUAUCAAGAGUAUUAUCGACAAAAUUCCCACUGAAAAAGCCGAUCUGUUCAACUAUCCGCUUGAUUGGGCCGAAAUCGAUAGCACUAUCGAGAAGAAAAUUAGGCCUUGGAUCAAUAAGAAAAUUAUUGAAUAUAUCGGUGAACCGGAACCGACGCUGGUGGACUUCAUAUGCUCUAAAGUGCUGGCUGGCAGCACGCCUCAGGGAAUUUUGGACGAUGUUCAAAUGGUGUUGGACGAAGAAGCGGAAGUAUUCGUAGUGAAAAUGUGGCGUUUACUCAUCUACGAAGUCGAAGCCAAAAAAGUUGGCUUGACAAAGUAGAUGUCGAACCAUUGCUUCCCUCUCCCAAAAAACGGUCGCCCACGACUUCCGUUUCAGCAGCCGUGAUACAGCGCAAUCGCAAUCCUGGUACAGGCAUUGAUGAACUCUGAACGCGCAGAAGCGAUUUAUCUGCAUAGACACUUCUGGAUGAAAUGAACGUGUUGCGUCAGGAUCACAACCAGUCGCAUUCAUCUAUCAAUCCGAUCGCUGACAAGAGACAAUGAAUGAUUUAUGUUACUUUACUCUUCCGGUGCAUCUCGACUGCCCCUGCUACCUGACACAACAAAAAACUCGGCAGCAGAUAUUUCCAAGGUUCCGAUCCGGUCGUGUCUUCGUCACUGAAACUACGAGGUGCUUCCAUUUAUUCGGACUAAGAAGGUUGUCUUGCUGAUUUUUUAACGAUCGGAAUUUCGUUGACCUUCGUCCAAACCAACCGUCGACCGUUUCCUGUUUGAUGUUGCGUUGGAGUUCCAGAGAAGUUACUUCGGUUAUGGAUCAUUCAAACGAGUCGACCAAGAAAGAAAUUUAAAAAGUCCAAGGGAACAAGGUGUAGGAGCAUCCUGUAGAGUGAGUAUAAUGUCUAGUUUAAUUCAAUGCAAAUGAUAUUUCAGCUGUGUUUAUGUGCAAAAGUAAGGAUUAUGUGAAACUAAGUGCUUUCAGUAUUAUUCGAAUGUUAAAUUUUUUAAAUGAUUACGAAAAUGCCCAAGUCAAGCGGAAAAAACCUGGUAUCGGUAAGUAGUUUUACCUAUUUGUUACAUUCCAUUAUAUCAAUAGAGACAGUUUGGCUUAGGGUGUAAAUAACAGACAAUGUUUGAA
Uranotaenia lowii is the source of this 4030-nucleotide RNA transcript. It is a transcript of the gene named RNA-binding protein 25-like, with no coding region annotated. Lineage: Eukaryota; Metazoa; Arthropoda; Insecta; Diptera; Culicidae. The record is from RefSeq and is a predicted model, not a curated record. The transcript has 10 exons.